CCUUUGAUCAGUCGGUGUUCUUUCUUUCUCUCUCUCUCUCUCUUUUUUUUUUUUCUUUCUUUUUUUUUUUUUUUAACCUCGAAAAUCUGUUUGCACCAUGAGAGCCUGUUGACUUAACAGAAAUUUCUCCAGAAGCUGAAAGAAACUCUGAAAACAAUGUGAAGUGAAACUCCCACCGACUGCAAUGGGCAAUUUUAGAAAUGUUGAUGAAGAAACAGUUUCACCUUCUAUCUGAGGAUGAAGAGUCACAAACUCCCCAAAUUCAGUUCUGGUCACAGAGCUGGUGCUCAGCCUAAGAGAAGAGUUGCCAAUGACUCAACGUGAGUUGAAAAGAUGGAGCUUCAUCAGCUGGAACUACAUCAGUGGAAACAACCUUGCUUUUCCAAAGGUGGUCUGAUGUUCAAACACUAACUCCAAUCCACUGCAUCUUGCAAAACUUCACAAGGUCAUGCUGAGGAGCAGAAAGGCUUUAAAUGAAUCCUGCACAGAAUUUUGUGGAAGUGACCACCAUCUUCAGAAUGUGCACAGAUGCAUAAGAUUGACGGAAGUGAGGCAACCUGUGAUUUGUCCUGGAGGUAUACUGAGAAAAAAAGACAGGAACACUGAACAGAAUUUCUACAGUAGCACUGCCAGCAUUACUUGAAGAUUUAGCAAUAUCAGGGAACUGUAUAAGGGAUGGCAGCUCAUCUUCUUCCGGAAGACAUCUUAAGGUUUGUCCUCAGGGCUCUGGGACCACUUCAGAUUAUCAAUGCAGGGAAGUGUAAGGUUCUGUUUCCACAUAGUGGAAGGGAGGUUGUAGGUUCAGUCUUCUUCCAUUUCCUGUGCAUUAGGCUGUUAGUAUAUGAGGUGUGUGCUUUGACUGAAUGACCACUGGCUAAACACACUUCAUUGUAUUUGGGGGCUUAAACAAGACAAAGAGGCUUUCACAUGUUGGGCCUUGAAUAUCCCCAGAGAAGGAGAUUCCACAACCAUCUGUUGGCUGUGCCACCCAACUUCAGAUAAUAAUAGAGCUAAAGGGAAUCAGGUGUUUGAUCUGACCUAUUAGGUGCUGUCAAACAUGUAGGGCCUGUGCUGACACUCUUAGGGAAUUAUUUCUGUGUUCAGAGUGGAGAAGCCUCUGGAUUAGUGCACUGGUAUAACGUUAUGUUUUUCUGAUGCGAAAAAGGCACCACAGGCACUGGUCUUAUCAUUCAGGCCUAGAGGUAGUCAGGACCUUCACACAGAUCACCUUAUGAGAGGACAAACAUUACCUUGAUUACUUUGUGUUU
This 1268-nucleotide long non-coding RNA is filed under the name Anas platyrhynchos platyrhynchos (common mallard). Its description in RNAcentral is "lncRNA (ENSAPLG00000026970.1)". The record is from RNAcentral. Lineage: Eukaryota; Metazoa; Chordata; Aves; Anseriformes; Anatidae.